This 445-nucleotide ribosomal RNA is filed under the name uncultured bacterium. RNAcentral describes it as "partial 16S ribosomal RNA". It matches the Rfam family "Bacterial small subunit ribosomal RNA", at positions 354 to 796 of the family's 1533-position model. The record is from RNAcentral.
GUGAGGAAUAUUGGACAAUGGGCGCAAGCCUGAUCCAGCCAUGCCGCGUGCAGGAAGACGCAUCUAUGGUGUGUAAACUGCUUUUGUACGGGAAGAAACACUCCCUCGUGAGGGAGCUUGACGGUACCGUAAGAAUAAGGAUCGGCUAACUCCGUGCCAGCAGCCGCGGUAAUACGGAGGAUCCAAGCGUUAUCCGGAAUCAUUGGGUUUAAAGGGUCCGUAGGCGGUUUAAUAAGUCAGUGGUGAAAGCCCAUCGCUCAACGAUGGAACGGCCAUUGAUACUGUUAGACUUGAAUUACAAGGAAGUAACUAGAAUAAGGAGUGUAGCGGUGAAAUGCUGAGAUAUUACAUGGAAUACCAAUUGCGAAGGCAGGUUACUACUUGUGGAUUGACGCUGAUGGACGAAAGCGUGGGGAGCGAACAGGAUUAGAUACCCGAAUAGUCC